CGCUAUCACUCCUACGGGAGGCAGCAGUGGGGAAUAUUGCACAAUGGGCGCAAGCCUGAUGCAGCCAUGCCGCGUGUAUGAAGAAGGCCUUCGGGUUGUAAAGUACUUUCAGCAGUGAGGAAGGUGGAUGCGUUAAUAGCGUAUUCAUUUGACGUUAGCGACAGAAGAAGCACCGGCUAACUCCGUGCCAGCAGCCGCGGUAAUACGGAGGGUGCGAGCGUUAAUCGGAAUUACUGGGCGUAAAGCGCAUGCAGGCGGCCUGUUAAGUCAGAUGUGAAAGCCCGGGGCUUAACCUCGGAAUUGCAUUUGAAACUGGCAGGCUAGAGUCUUGUAGAGGGGGUAGAAUUUCAGGUGUAGCGGUGAAAUGCGUAGAGAUCUGAAGGAAUACCAGUGGCGAAGGCGGCCCCCUGGACAAAGACUGACGCUCAGAUGCGAAAGCGUGGGGAGCAAACAGGAUUAGAUACCCUGGUAG
RNAcentral lists this ribosomal RNA (472 nucleotides) under uncultured bacterium. RNAcentral describes it as "bacterial SSU rRNA". It matches the Rfam family "Bacterial small subunit ribosomal RNA", at positions 328 to 793 of the family's 1533-position model. The record is from RNAcentral.